GGGCCGCUGGCUCCGGUUCUGAGCGGCCGUUCCGAGUGGCCGUUCCGAGCGGCCGUUCCGGGCAGCCGCCGCCCG
RNAcentral lists this transfer RNA (75 nucleotides) under Kitasatospora phosalacinea. Its description in RNAcentral is "tRNA-Arg". Lineage: Bacteria; Bacillati; Actinomycetota; Actinomycetes; Kitasatosporales; Streptomycetaceae. The record is from RNAcentral.